AAAGCUAUAGCCAAUCCCAAAAUUUAUCAGAAACAAAGAAGAAUGUCCAAUCAACCCAUAAAACAUGUACGAUCGGAAAAUUAUAAACAAUCAACAAGCAAAUUGCAACAAAUAAAGCCACGGAAGACCCAUUUCAACAGCUUGAAAAGAACUGAAAUUUAAAGAGAGAAAACACAACUUACAAUGCUCUUGCUUGGUGAAAUUUCGCAAGUGGUAAUGGCAGAUUGCGGUGGCGGUCGCGGCAACAGCAAAUCCUUGCUGAUUCCCUUGACUCUUGGCUUUCCUUCGCUCUGUUUCUUUGCCGAUGACCUUCUUCUCUGUUUUUUCCUUGCUCCAGCUUUUCCUUUUCAUUCCCUCUCUCUCGGUCCCUCACGUGGUUUCGUUCCCGCCGCCACUCUUUUACUUGUUGUCCCCGGUUCUCAUUUCUCUCCCAACCUUCUUCAUCAGCCGCCACCCCAAAAACCUCUCCAGCCCUCGGUUUCUUUUUUUUUUUUUUAAUUUC
This 502-nucleotide long non-coding RNA is filed under the name Coffea arabica (coffee). Its description in RNAcentral is "long non-coding RNA (CARA_LNC005896)". Lineage: Eukaryota; Viridiplantae; Streptophyta; Magnoliopsida; Gentianales; Rubiaceae. The record is from RNAcentral.